AGCGAAGAGGUAGCAAUACCUUUGUCGGCGACCGGCGCACGGGUGAGUAACACGUAUGCAAUCCACCUGUAACAGGGGGAUAACCCGGAGAAAUCCGGACUAAUACCCCAUAAUAUGGGCGCUCCGCAUGGAGAGCCCAUUAAAGAGAGCAAUUUUGGUUACAGACGAGCAUGCGCUCCAUUAGCCAGUUGGCGGGGUAACGGCCCACCAAAGCGACGAUGGAUAGGGGUUCUGAGAGGAAGGUCCCCCACAUUGGAACUGAGACACGGUCCAAACUCCUACGGGAGGCAGCAGUGAGGAAUAUUGGUCAAUGGUCGGCAGACUGAACCAGCCAAGUCGCGUGAGGGAAGACGGCCCUACGGGUUGUAAACCUCUUUUGUCGGAGAGUAAAGUACGCUACGUGUAGUGUAUUGCAAGUAUCCGAAGAAAAAGCAUCGGCUAACUCCGUGCCAGCAGCCGCGGUAAUACGGAGGAUGCAAGCGUUAUCCGGAUUUAUUGGGUUUAAAGGGUGCGUAGGCGGCACGCCAAGUCAGCGGUGAAAUUUCCGGGCUCAACCCGGAGUGUGCCGUUGAAACUGGCGAGCUAGAGUACACAAGAGGCAGGCGGAAUGCGUGGUGUAGCGGUGAAAUGCAUAGAUAUCACGCAGAACCCCGAUUGCGAAGGCAGCCUGCUAGGGUGAAACAGACGCUGAGGCACGAAAGCGUGGGUAUCGAACAGGGUUAGAUACCCUGGUAGUCCACGCAGUAAACGAUGAAUACUAACUGUUUGCGAUACAAUGUAAGCGGUACAGCGAAAGCGUUAAGUAUUCCACCUGGGGAGUACGCCGGCAACGGUGCAACUCAAAGGA
This 847-nucleotide ribosomal RNA is filed under the name uncultured organism. RNAcentral describes it as "bacterial SSU rRNA". It matches the Rfam family "Bacterial small subunit ribosomal RNA", at positions 67 to 908 of the family's 1533-position model. The record is from RNAcentral.